Trichoplax adhaerens is the source of this 45-nucleotide regulatory RNA element. It matches the Rfam family "Histone 3' UTR stem-loop". Rfam says of the family: The mRNAs of metazoan histone genes lack a poly-A tail. 3' end processing occurs at a site between a highly conserved stem-loop (modelled by this family) and a purine rich region around 20 nts downstream (the histone downstream element, or HDE). Lineage: Eukaryota; Metazoa; Placozoa; Uniplacotomia; Trichoplacea; Trichoplacidae. The record is from Rfam.
CCAACGGCUUUUUUAAAAGCCAUAAAUUUAUAAAGAAAAUUUAUC